GGAAUCUUCGGCAAUGGACGAAAGUCUGACCGAGCAACACCGCGUGAGUGAAGAAGGGUUUCGGAUCGUAAAACUCUGUUGGUAGAGAAGAACGUUGGUGAGAGUGGAAAGCUCAUCAAGUGACGGUAACUACCCAGAAAGGGACGGCUAACUACGUGCCAG
RNAcentral lists this ribosomal RNA (162 nucleotides) under uncultured bacterium. RNAcentral describes it as "partial 16S ribosomal RNA". It matches the Rfam family "Bacterial small subunit ribosomal RNA", at positions 358 to 511 of the family's 1533-position model. The record is from RNAcentral.